Molecule: long non-coding RNA, 1033 nt
Filed under: Anas platyrhynchos platyrhynchos (common mallard)
Lineage: Eukaryota; Metazoa; Chordata; Aves; Anseriformes; Anatidae
Description: lncRNA (ENSAPLG00000023303.1)
Source: RNAcentral
AACAACACUCAGGCAAGCUAAACCUGAUAGAUGCUCAACAGGCAGGAGACAGACGAAGAGAAAAACACAGCCAGAGCGAGCUCUAUCUGGUGGCUGCAAACAGGAUAUCGAGUACUGCCUGCUGCCAGCACAGGUGGGGAAAGGGGGCUCUCAAAGGCAACUUGCUCUCACGGAGCAGGCUCAAGCACUUCCCACCUGCUGCUGGUUAUAGUUCCUCCUGGAAGCUGCUGUUCUUUCUCUCACACAGGAGUACUCAUAGCUGCUUGGAGAGGUGGAAAACCUUGCUGCUGUUCAACAAGGAUGACUGGAACAGACAUCGUUCACUUAUCAGCAAAGCCAAACACAGAUUGUCUGGUAAAGGGAACAAAGCAACUAAAUAGGUCUGGCCAAACAUCCAAGCUCAGCCAGACCACCCUGCACUGAGGCUGCCAAAGACACCAAACUUAUGGAAGUUUGAUGAGGCACAAAGCAGCCUCAAGACCAAGGUGUUUUCUUCUCAGUACUAAUUCAGCCCCAUGGAGACACUGCUGGAUCUGAAAGCACGGGAGGAUGACAGCCCUUCUCCAGUUUAACUUUCUACAGCUCUGGUUUGGCAUGGGGAAGUUGGAGUCUCCGGGCUGCUGCAAAAUUUUAUUGGGUCCAUAUUCCCAGAGAUCUGUUCAUGUAAUAUAUGGAAAUAGUGCCUUUUUCUUUAGAUAGCAUUUUCAGCAGCAGAACAGAGGCAUCCACUUACAUACCUACAAAACAUAGGUUCUAUCUGACUCUUCUAUUCAGUGCAACACAGAGCAGUUUCAUCAGCUGCAGCAAUGUCCAUAGCUGAUUUUAAGCAACUUGGGCCAGACUGGAGCUAAUAUCAUUUCUCUGGACUUGAAUAUAAAUCGCUACCAGCCUGUCCUAGCAGAAAUUUGUCCCCAGGCUUCCCAGCCACACUGGCUUCACAAGGCAGGACACAGCAGGACCCACAUGCUGUCCCCCCUGCCCACACCACCAGCCAUCAAUGCUGCCAAAGAAAUAAAAGCCAUCAAAGUUUUCA